UUGGGAAGAAGAAAAGACACAAAAUUCUGUGCUGGCCCUGCAGGUGAAGACGCUCUUCCAGUUCUUUGAUUGAUGGAUUGCCCUCAGUUUUCAUUGUUAAAGGGGACCCAUUGUGGACCUUUUUCUCCUGUAGGAAAGUGCAUAGGAAUGGAGAUCAAUUAAACCUCUACUGCACAGAGGAGGGAAGAAAUCUGGUGGAUGUCCUGCAAAUGUCAUUGACGAGGUUAGUAAGAUCUUUCUCUUUUCAUUCUCUUGAUAUUCCUUGUACUUAUGCUUGAGGUACUUAAGAUUUCUAGAGUGGUCUGUGGCAGCAAAAUUUCUCACUGCGGUGGAUUAACCAAGAAGAGUUUGUC
Molecule: long non-coding RNA, 353 nt
Filed under: Calidris pugnax (ruff)
Lineage: Eukaryota; Metazoa; Chordata; Aves; Charadriiformes; Scolopacidae
Description: lncRNA (ENSCPUG00000017506.1)
Source: RNAcentral